UCAUACGGUGGAGAACAACAGUCUCAUAAAUCUGAGAAAACCUCAUCAUCAGAAACCAGUCAUUCACUAUGAAUGGAAUAGAAAGUAGGAUUGUCUGGAGUUUAUUAUUUUUAGCUGCUAUUCAAGGAGUCUGGAGUGAGAUCAGACUGCAGCAGUCUCCAUCUGAGCUGAAAAGACCUGGAGAGACAGUCAAGAUCUCAUGUAUCACAUCUGGUUAUACGAUGACUACUUACAGCAUUUGCUGGAUCAAACAAAAGCCAGGAGAAGCUCUGGAGUGGAUUGGUUGGAUAAACACGCAAACAACCGUUGCUACCUAUGCCAGCUCUUUUCAAAGUCGAUUCAGUUUGACUCAGGAUGUGUCCAGCAGCACUCAGUACCUGCAGAUCAAGAGUCUGACAGCUGAAGAUUCUGCUGUUUACUUCUGU
Molecule: non-coding RNA, 425 nt
Organism: Stegastes partitus (bicolor damselfish)
Lineage: Eukaryota; Metazoa; Chordata; Actinopteri; Pomacentridae
Source: the annotation of a RefSeq genome assembly